AAAGGAAUGAAUGAGAAUGUGUUUUGAGGAACUUUCUUCUGUGGCAGUGAAUCACUCUGGAUUUGGGACACUGUUUUUCCCGUGCUGUGCUUCGGAAAUAAAAGCUACCCCUGGCUGCAUUGCUAAGCAUCAACGAACACUGAUGGGGAUUAACUAAAACGAGAAAGAAGAGCACAGCUGGAGAGCACCAAAAUGCCCCAGGAGAGGUUCCCCAAAGAGAGGUGAGGUGGAACUGGAGGAGGUGGAGAGCUGAGGGAAAGAAAAUGGAUUCUCUUUGCUGGACGACGAGAAGAUGGAGAGAUUGCCUCGAAAUUAAGAGGUCCUUCAGCGAUCUCAGAGAAAAACCGCAGUUUCUGGAGGGGAAAAAAAAAAGAGAGGUUAUUGAGUGCUGGCAGCAAAUCUAUUUACCGGAUCUCCUUGAGCAGCAAUAGCAAAAUAGGCGAUCUCGCACUGCAGCGGGACCCCUCCCCAUCAUAAAGGGGCGUCUUCACUUUGGGUUCACUUUCCAUAAUCCGGAUAAUGGAGGUAAACCGAAGCAGCUGCCUUUGCGGAGGGGAAAUCCGUCCCCUGAUCAGUCCUCGGGAGAGGGCGGGUUGUAAUAGCGGCGGGGCGAUGCGCACUGCGGGCACCUCCCGGAGCCAUGGGGGGGUCGGACGGCGCAGAGGGGGCUCCAGGAGCUCAGAGGGGGAACCCCAGAGCCGGAGGUGCCAUAAAGAGGGAAGAAAAACGAUCCGUUUUCCUCGGACAACUUGAAAACAGGUAACGUCGAAAGGUUACAGAGAAGGAGGGUGGAGGAAAGCUUCCCUCCUGUUCAGGGGCAGCGGUGUAAUUCGGGCAGCACAGAGAGCAAGCGGGGGAAAAAAAUGAAGAUUAGAGGUGAUGAAUUAAAAAAUAAAUAAAAUUAUUAAUCAGUGCUGGAAUUAUUUCUCCGCUUUGCGGUGUUAUCUCGGAACUGCGUUGUCAGUUUUUCUCAUGGUUUGUUUCGUUUUUGUGCUGCUGUUUGUUCGUUUUUUUCUGUACUAUUUAACUAAAGGAGGGGGAAAAAAGAAACCUUUCCUAUCCGCUGCGUUAACGGAGAGAGAAAAUACGUGUUUGUGGGUUGGAUAAUUUGCUUUCUUGGCGACGUCGGCAAAGGCAGCGAGUUGGGAGGGGGGGAAAUCCGGGUGGGAAUGGGCUCACGGCUCUCCGGGUCGG
RNAcentral lists this long non-coding RNA (1194 nucleotides) under Gallus gallus (chicken). RNAcentral's name for it is "lncRNA (ENSGALG00010026616.1)". The record is from RNAcentral. Lineage: Eukaryota; Metazoa; Chordata; Aves; Galliformes; Phasianidae.